Taeniopygia guttata (zebra finch) is the source of this 5071-nucleotide long non-coding RNA. NCBI's taxonomy places the organism in Eukaryota, Metazoa, Chordata, Aves, Passeriformes, Estrildidae. The record is from Ensembl.
UUUUUUUUUUUUUUUUUUUUUUGUGGAGCUCCUUAGUAUGUUGAUUUCAAAUGAAGAAGAGGAACUCAGACUUCUAUUGGCUAUAAUUUGUGAGAUACAUUUAGAAUUAAAUAAAAACAACAAAAAAAAUCAACCCAAGAAAACCAAGAAAGCAAACAAGAAAUAAAUAUGAAAACCUCAAGCCAUAUUUCAUCCUAAACUCAGAGUCUAAACCCUUUAAAGUAUGGGGAGAUGAUACAACUCCCUCAGCAGAAUUCCGGGCUGGGCCACAGAACCCACGGCUCCGUGCCAUCAAACCUAAUCUUUGUUUGAGAUCUGACACAUUCUCUCCAAGUUUUCAGUCACAUUGCAAAUUUCUGAGAGGAUGAAAGGCAGAUUCUCCUCCUCUCUUACAUUAACCCCAGGGCCUAGAAACAGCAGGACUUGAUUUAACCAAACACACACUGGGCCAGAAAAAUGAUGAGUGAUUCUGGGACUUGACUGACACCAAGGAGACUUCAUCUGAUUCAUGGUUUUCCAACGUGAUCAUUGCACCACCUCAGACCCCUGAGCAGCUUGUGCUGAAAUGAGGAGAUAACCAGAAUGCCAAAAAGCAUCUCCUCACUGGCCAAACUGACAGCAAAGUCAGCAGAAUCUCCUCCUCCCUGGGGAAUUGCGCUCACCAGACAGGCAGCAAACUUCCCAGCCCCAAACAGGCAACAUCUUCCAGGAGCCAAGGCCCUGGUGUCCUCUUUGCAAGAUACCACCAACAAAAAGGCCUCCAGACCUUCCUUCUUACUCAACUCAACUCCUCUCCACUGCAUCUCUCGUCCAAAAAAUUUACUGUACUACAUAAAGCCUGGACCAAGCUAAAUCUGCUGGCUCCCAAACAGGCUUCUUAAGCCUCUAGCAAAUCAAGAGUAGGAUAUUUGUUUCUAAAUCUCCAAAGGAGGAUUAGGCAGGGUGACCAUAAUCCUAACCAGCCUCACACCUGCCACUCAUUCUUAGGGAAGGAGAGGUGCAUUUUAAUAUCUGGAAGUUGCUAACAGAUGAAUCUCUUUGUCCAAGGCAGGAAAUCAAAGAUUACUGUUCCUAGUUCCUUUUUUUCUUGGCUGCAUGGGAAAAUAAGGUGAUUUUUCUUUUUCUGUGAGACAAAGAGUGAAUAUGAUUGUUUGUUUUGGUUCUAGUGACAUCAUUCUUUUUUGUCAGCACCAUCUCUCAGCAAUUGACUCUGAUCUGAAGAAGGACUAUAGCAGUUAACAGUUUUCUGAAACUUUAUCCCAUCAUCUCCCUCUAUUUCAGCGCCCUAAACAAAAAAUAAGGUCAGUGAGAAACUUUUUCAUAUAUGUUGUCCAACCCUUGAUCAAAACCCCUACAUUUUCCAUGAUGUUUACAUGUAAGUCCCACUGCAAUGACAUCAGAGCUUCCCAAUACCCAUUUUAGCACCAAUUAAAGUGGCAAUGCUCAGAGAACCAUUUAUCUUUAUACUGUAGGAGUUUGACUAGUGCUGUUGUUACUUUUGAGGGGGAAUUGUGCAGGCUCCUUGUCAAUUGGUUUAGGUUGCCUAAAUGAAGCCAAAUUGCUUUUGCCGUCCCCAGCUGCUGCUGCUGCCUGUGUGUUCCACCUUCCCCAUAUCCACUUUAAUCCAUCAGCCAUGAGCAAAACAACCUUCCCUCGGUGCACCUCCUGCAAACAGGGUAGGAAAACACCACAAAAGGGGAAAAAAACACACAUCACUUGCAGCAUUUUUACAUGUAAUAGUAACAGUCUCUUGGUGCCAUCAUCAGCCAUGGCAUUUCAUUCACACAGAACACUUGUGGGCACAUCACAUAUGCUUUUCCAUUCAAUGUAUUUUUAAAUGUUUCCCAGGCAACUGUUUCAAUACAAUAUGCCUCCUUGGCAACCUGGUACCCGCAAAUGCCAUGCUAGUCUCCCUAGUCCUCUUUUUAGGUCUUCCCAUCUUGGCAUAUAAAUGUCACAACGCUGGGUUUUCCAUCUCCAGCCACACAGGUGCUGAUCUGUCCUUGCAUUUGGAAAGGCUGAAUUGAAGAGAUGAGUCGUGUACUGGGUGCUGCACGUUGGCAAAUUCAGCUUUGGUGUGCUACCAGAGGGAGCAGGUUUCAAAGGCAGUGACUUUUUGUGGGAAAGAGAAUGUCUCCUGCAACUAAAAUUAAGGAGAGCCCACAAAACUGUCUCCACUGAACUGACUUUCUCUGGAAGCAGCAAUGAGCCUGCACUUCUCAAACUGAAAUGCACGUCAUCUUUAUUUUCCUGACUAAGCCAGUCUUACCCAGUUCUCCUCAUUUUGUGGUUUAAUUGUAACACAUCACAUGAAUGCAAAGAGUCAGACCUUCCCAUUUCACCACAGGCAGUGACUAACACUGGACUGAGUGGGUCAGUUUGCUGGGUUGCUCUUUCCAGGGCUACAUUUGCUGCCACUGGGCUGUUCAGGGGACAUGUUGUGACAUUAGAGUGGAGCAUUUCAGCUGUGGGACAUUUGCUGCAGCAGCUCUCCCUGCUGCUCUGCACAUUGUGGUCUCUUUGGGGACAUUGCCCUUUAUUACAUUUAGCAGAAUGGCCACGCUCAUCCUUGAGUGAAGUCACAGACUAUUUGACAAGGACAAAUCUUAUCAACAUGUACUCCUAAGCUAAGCAUUGAUUAGAUAAAAUAAUUAAAAUAUAAUAAUAUUUCAAUGGUCUAGCAAGGAACAAUUUCUUCUGAACAUUUUUAUCUGAUACUGGAGCUAUCACUACAGAAGAAAUGAUAUUUCAGAAGGUCUAAAACUAUCAGCGAGCAUCAGUCGUCAUAAAAAAAGAAGUUUCAAUAAAAACUGUAUGUGCUUCAGCCUCAAAGUGGCACAUUAAAAAAAAAUAAUAGCUCCUGCAUGCAAUGACAUCAGACUCUGAGAGAAACCCAGCAGAAACUGUGGCAUCUCUUCUCCAUUGAUUACUCCAUAACAACAGCUGAAAAUUACAAUUUUUCCAGGCUAUAAAAUGCCUAGCACUCCAAAUUCUACACCGGCAGCAAAAAUCUCCUCCCUGUCUGUGAGCUGCUGUAUCUGUAAUAGAGACCCUGCAUUACCAAGCUUUCUAAUUCUUCCCAAAUGCAGAAGCUCUCAUUCAAUGCUGCAGCUGUUGGGGAGGAAAUCAGAAAUAGCAGAAGGCGGAUUAGUUGAUAAUGUACCAGUUCUUCCCCAGCAAAUGCUGGCACCUGCGUUUUACACUCUCCUCUUUCCCUCAGCCCAGGAAAAGAUCACUUGGUUUGUUUGGCAGGCAAUUUAUAGGCUUUAGUGAUUGUGGAACUGCAAAAGGAUUAGAAUUUGUUAUAAUAGCCCCUUCUUCCUGAGAGCAAAAGUUAAAACUGAGGCCCACUUUACAGCAAGAAUCAGGGACCAUGUAAGUAAAGAUUAAGCGUGUGCAGCUUGAUGAGACUCAACAGGGAAGAGAUAACUACACAUGCUGGCACUCCAUUUACAAGGAAAUCCCUGCAGAUAAUCUGUAGGAGCAUUCUGGCUUCCACAAGCUCAAAUCCCUUGACCACUGGCUCAAAUCCAGUCAAGGCUGAUUAUGAUAAAGACUAUUCUCUGCAUUUCUAGGAGAACUUUUUUCCUAACACCACUAAACAUUCUAAUUAUUAAAUUAGCUAGACCCAAAAUCAAGCAAAAAGUAAUAGGAUUUUCAGGCAGUGGAGGAAACAGAAGAUAAGGUUCGUGCAAAGGGGCAAGCCCAAGAACAGGUCCUAUUCUACUUUGCCUUCCUAUUCUUAGUACAUUAUUCAUUCCAGAAAGAUGCAGAUGAAAAAUACUAAAUGCCCUUAAUGGACAAAGAUUUCUAGUUUGAAAUCUGCAGGUAGUUAGAGAAGCAGAGCAAGGAUGAAAACAUUCAUGGCAUGGUUAGAGUGGGUAUCAUUAAACACAUAGCAAUCAAAAAAACCUUAGAAUUUUCAGUUAAAUCUACAAAAUCCAAACCCACCUACAAUCUACAGUUGCUAAAGAAGCAAGGUUUUCUCCUUUUGCUUUUUACAAGCAGAAGUGGCAAUAAUAAUUUUCCCUAUUCUUUUUUUUAUAUUCUUUCAUUUGUGGCCCUUACUGCACAAUAACCAAUUUUUAUGUUCCCCCAUAAUAAAGCUUUUGCAAAUGCUGUAAGUGCUCACAGCACCACACAGCAACACCUCCAGCAUGAAGAACAGGCUGCACUCCUGAUGGCUGCUCUGGGAGAAGUCAUAUCUAACAACAUAAAUCCAUGGGUACAGCACACGAUUUAGCAGCAUAAGGUUGUCCAAGGAGUAUCCAAGGAGUCAUAAAACAUAAAACACUAACCCAAACACCACGGGAAUAAAAGAAAUCUUGUGGCAUCACUGAUCGUUAGCAUAGAUACACCCAGGAGUGUGUUUGGAGUGCUCUCACAGCCCCCCGGGUUUUGUUAAAUCCCUGGUUUUGCAUAGUUUGCUGCCUCCAUGUGGUGACAGUCAGCGCUGGGCCACAAUUCCCAGUGAUCCUGAGUGAAAUCCCCCAAGGAACACUUCUUCAGCUGGUUGUAAAAUCAGAUUUCUACCCCUCCUCAUUUCAUUUCCCACCACUUCCACGGCCAAACCCCUCUUCAAUUCACACUUUUGCUUUAUUUAUACCCCCUUUCUCCUGCUGUUCUUUGUCUCUGCUGUCACCACACCUUCCUCUCUAAACCCUUCAGAUCCAAAUUCACCCUUUCCCUCUGUUCCACUUACCUUGUUCCACCUGCAGCUUUUGGGGGAACACCUUUCCCGACAAAGAAGGAAAGGAGAACCGAUUUCCUGGGGUUUCCUUUCACCACACUGAGAAGCAGCUUCUAAAUGGCAACAAAAAUGACAGAACCCUGUGACUGUACCUUGGGUGUUCCCUGGGCACUGCAGUAGCUGUAACAGAUAUUAAUGUGGGAAAAGGUUAGUUUGUGCGACAGGGGUUGACUUUUCCAGUAUUUUCUUUCUUCCCGGAUUUCAUUCUCGUUUUACUCUGCCCAUCACACAGCUUAAAUGCUGGUCUUCUAGUAGGACAUUUUUUACAAUUAUUUUUGUUUUUCAGCUAUCUAUUUUAUAAACCCACACAGAUCCCAGGAG